UACGUAGGGUGCGAGCGUUAAUCGGAAUUACUGGGCGUAAAGCGUGCGCAGGCGGUUUUGUAAGCCAGAUGUGAAAGCCCCGGGCUUAACCUGGGAAUGGCAUUUGGGACUGCAAGGCUGGAGUGUGGCAGAGGAGACUGGAAUUCCUGGUGUAGCAGUGAAAUGCGUAGAUAUCAGGAGGAAUACCGAUGGCGAAGGCAGGUCUCUGGGCUGACACUGACGCUGAAGCGCGAAAGCUAGGGGAGCGAACGGG
RNAcentral lists this ribosomal RNA (253 nucleotides) under uncultured bacterium. RNAcentral describes it as "partial 16S ribosomal RNA". It matches the Rfam family "Bacterial small subunit ribosomal RNA", at positions 524 to 776 of the family's 1533-position model. The record is from RNAcentral.